AACGAACGCUGGCGGCAUGCCUAACACAUGCAAGUCGAACGAGACCUUCGGGUCUAGUGGCGCACGGGUGCGUAACGCGUGGGAACCUGCCCUUAGGUUCGGAAUAACUCCCCGAAAGGGGUGCUAAUACCGGAUAAUGUCUUCGGACCAAAGAUUUAUCGCCUUUGGAUGGGCCCGCGUUGGAUUAGCUAGUUGGUAGGGUAAAAGCCUACCAAGGCGACGAUCCAUAGCUGGUCUGAGAGGAUGAUCAGCCACACUGGGACUGAGACACGGCCCAGACUCCUUCGGGAGGCAGCAGUGGGGAAUAUUGGACAAGGGGCGAAAGCCUGAUCCAGCAAUGCCGCGUGAGUGAUGAAGGCCUUAGGGUUGUAAAGCUCUUUUACCCGGGAUGAUAAUGACAGUACCGGGAGAAUAAGCUCCGGCUAACUCCGUGC
Molecule: ribosomal RNA, 434 nt
Filed under: uncultured bacterium
Lineage: Bacteria
Description: partial 16S ribosomal RNA
Rfam family: Bacterial small subunit ribosomal RNA
Source: RNAcentral